This 480-nucleotide ribosomal RNA is filed under the name uncultured Moryella sp. RNAcentral describes it as "bacterial SSU rRNA". It matches the Rfam family "Bacterial small subunit ribosomal RNA", at positions 26 to 507 of the family's 1533-position model. The record is from RNAcentral. Lineage: Bacteria; Bacillati; Bacillota; Clostridia; Lachnospirales; Lachnospiraceae.
AGGAUGAACGCUGGCGGCGUGCUUAACACAGUGCAAGUACGAACGAGAAAUGUAGACGGAACCUUACGGGCGGAAGGCGUUCAUUCGAGUGGCGGACGGGUGAGUAACGCGUGGGUAACCGUGCCUCAUACAGGGGAUAACAGUGGAAACGACUGUUAUACCGCAUAAGACCACAGCACCGCAUGGUGCGGGGGUAAAAACUCCGGUGGUAUGAGAUGGACCCGCGUUCGAUUAGCCAGUUGGCGGGGUAACGGCCCACCAAAGCGACGAUCGAUAGCCGAUCUGAGAGGAUGACCGGCCACAUUGGGACUGAGACACGGCCCAAACUCCUACGGGAGGCAGCAGUGGGGAAUAUUGCACAAUGGGGGAAACCCUGAUGCAGCGACGCCGCGUGAGUGAAGAAGUACUUCGGUAUGUAAAGCUCUAUCAGCAGGGAAGAAAAUGACGGUACCUGAGUAAGAAGCCCCGGCUAACUACGUG